Molecule: long non-coding RNA, 601 nt
Filed under: Pongo abelii (Sumatran orangutan)
Lineage: Eukaryota; Metazoa; Chordata; Mammalia; Primates; Hominidae
Description: lincRNA
Source: RNAcentral
CUGGAAAAAGAAUGAAUGACUAUAAUUUUGGCAAUUGCAGACCUAUUCAGUGUGAUUUGAUUGAAUGAUUGAUCAGGUGGUAGAAGAGGGCUUGAGCAGGCCGACUUGCCCUUCAGGAAUACUGCCUGGCCUUCAGAUUCAACCUUAUUGCUUGACACUACUUGGCCUGCUCAGUGGUGCUAUCUCGGCCCACCACAACCUCUGCCUCCUGGGUUCAAGCAAUUCUCCUGCCUCAGCCUCCUGAGUAGCUGGGAUUACAGGAACCGGGCAAAUCUAACUCAGUCUUCCUUUGAUUCACACUGGAUGAGUGAACUGCAUAGAUGGGGUUUUGCUAUGCUGCCCAUGGCUGGUCUUGAACCUCUGAGCUCAAGUGAUCCAUCAUGUGCACCACUGCCCCAGGUGAACUUUUUACAUAAAGUAUAAGAAAACAGAUUCCUCCUCUCAAUGCCUACAGGAAUCCCCUCUGAUCUUCUAACUGGUAAAGUACUAAGUUAAAAAACCUCUUAGCCCUCUGUCUCUCCAAGUUGGGUAGUAUUAAAUAUAUGAAUCCAUUUUUAGCCUGGGCAGUAUGGUGAGACUCUGUCUCCAUAGACACACGCAC